AUGCUGCGGUGAAUGCGUUCCCGGGUCUUGUACACACCGCCCGUCACACCACGGAAGUUGGGGGCGCCCGAAGCCACUUAGCUAACCCUUUUGGGAAGCGAGUGUCGAAGGUGAAAUCAAUAACUGGGUGAAGUCGUAACAAGGUAGC
RNAcentral lists this ribosomal RNA (148 nucleotides) under uncultured bacterium. Its description in RNAcentral is "partial 16S ribosomal RNA". It matches the Rfam family "Bacterial small subunit ribosomal RNA", at positions 1354 to 1500 of the family's 1533-position model. The record is from RNAcentral.